This 253-nucleotide ribosomal RNA is filed under the name uncultured bacterium. RNAcentral describes it as "partial 16S ribosomal RNA". It matches the Rfam family "Bacterial small subunit ribosomal RNA", at positions 524 to 776 of the family's 1533-position model. The record is from RNAcentral.
AACAGAGGAGCCAAGCGUUGUCCGGAUUGACUGGGCGUAAAGCGCACGCAGGCGGUCGUGCACGUGGGGUGUGAAAACUGGCGGCUUAACUGCCAGAGGCCACCUCAUACGGCGCGACUCGAGCCCGUGAGAGGUCCAUGGAAUUGCCGGUGUAGUGGUGAAAUGCGUAGAGAUCGGCAGGAACACCCAGGGAGAAAUCAGUGGACUGGCACGGUGCUGACGCUCAGGUGCGAAAGCGUGGGGAGCGAACCGG